Hypanus sabinus (Atlantic stingray) is the source of this 4177-nucleotide long non-coding RNA. RefSeq lists it as uncharacterized. The transcript has 4 exons. NCBI's taxonomy places the organism in Eukaryota, Metazoa, Chordata, Chondrichthyes, Myliobatiformes, Dasyatidae. The record is from RefSeq and is a predicted model, not a curated record.
CUCAGGCAUUAGUUGCCUUUUUUACACUUCUGGGUGAUCUAGCGCUUUUCUAUCUCUGAGAGGAUUCCGGGAGGCAGAGGAAGCGUGUGCAAGCCAUUGUACACCGAUUAAAGCAACGAAGGAAUGUGGAAAACAUCGAGGCGAAUGCGGAAGAAGGCAAGAACACCAGCGAGGCCAAUGAGCAGAAAGAUGCAGAGGGUCAAGAGUUGAGGACAGCAUUAAACUAUUCAGCAGGCCUCGUAAAAAAACACUGCGCUGUGAGAAGGAUGUGGGAACCACUCACAGAAUCUUUCCUCCAAGACAACCACUUGAAACAAAAAGUGGUCGCCGAGGAUCUGGCAGAGUAUGGUACCAAAGAAAAAGAUUCUGACUACCUUAAGAAGACCACCAUCUGAGUAGACAUUUGGAUUUUAAAACAGAAUGAAAAAUCAUGGAAAAAUAUUGCAGUUAAGUUCUGUCUCUGCUGGUGGUGGUGGAGCUGAUGGUGGACCUGAGGAGGGCUAAGGCACCAGUGACCCCUGUUUCCAUCUAAAGGGUCAGUGUGGACAUGGUGGAGGAUUACAAAUACCUGGGGAUGUGAAUUGACAAUAAACCGGACUGGUCAAAGAACAAUGAGGCUGUCUACAAGAAGGGUCAGAGCCAUCUCUACUUCCUGAGGAGACUGAGGUCCUUUAACAUCUGCUGGAUGAUGCUGAGGAUGUUCUACGAGUCUGUGGUGGCCAGUGCUAACAUGUUUGCUGUUGUGUGCUGGGGCAGCAGGCUGAGGGUAGCGGACACCAACAGAAUCAACAAACUCAUUCAUAAGGCCAGUGAUGUUGUGGGUGUAGAACUGGACUCUCUGACGGUGGUGUCUGAAAAGAGGAUGCUGUCCAAGUUGCAUGCCAUCUUGGACAAUGUCUCCUAUCCACUCCAUAAUGUACUGGUUAGGCACAGGAGUACGUUCAGCCAGAGACUCAUUCCACUGAGAUGCAACACUGAGCGUCAUAGGAAGUCAUUCCUGCCUGUGGCCAUCAAACUUUACAACUCCUCCCUCGGAGUGUCAGACACCCUGAGCUAAUAGGCUGGUCUGGACUUAUUUCCACUUGGAAUAAGUUACUUAUUAUUAUUUAUGGUUUUAUAUUGCUAUAUUUCUACACUAUUCUUGGUUGGUGCGACUGUAACAAAUCCCAAUUUCCCUCGGGAUCAAUAAAUAUGUCCGUCUGUAAAGCACAUAUUACUCCAUGAAUUAUCAUCUGUUCCACAUUUUCAAAUACUUGCCCGAGAUCAACCAUUUGAUUUUUUUUUAAAACGGGAACAUUGACUUAUAUUUGAAGAGAUAAACUAAAUUCAUUUCACAUCAUUAUAUAUUCAGUAUGGCAAUGUUUUUCUUUGUUUGGUUUUGAUGAGUCAUCAUUCCUCUGGCGAAUUUGCUCCGUGUUGCUGCCACAUUAGAUACUGCUGGUUGAAAAACUAACUUUUACAGUGUAUUAACCUUUAUGUUGCAAAAAGGUCAGUACGCUGAUAUUUCAACCAACCAAUUAAAACUGUUAUACAAGGGCAUAAGUUACUAGCAGAGCAAUGUCUAUAUUAACAAUAGGUGUUGCACCAGGUGACAAAGAUAAAUUUGAGGAGAUAUAGUUUUGAAUAUAUAUUUGUCACUUUGAAGUACAUUAUCCCUAUUACAUAAUGCACUAUAUUGCUCAAGAUAUUUUUCUAAAAAGAAAUCAAUGAUUCCAGAGUAAUACUUUAUUCAUUACCAUGAGCUGAAGAUAUAAAAGAUCUUUAAGCCUUCAUAGAGGAAUAUAUCUUCACGAAAUUGUUAAAAGGCAGUGACAAUGAAAAUGUGCUACAGAAUUAAGCAACGAUUUUUGUUGCUCAGUCUCUGCACCCACCGUCUUCAAAGGGCCUGAAUGAACCAUACAGUCAUAAGUGUUCCCUCAAAAAUAACACACCUCAUCAUGUCAACUGAAGAAUGAAUCAAUUAUUGACUGAACUGGGAUCAAACUAAAUAUGAAUUUCUCAGAUAAUUAAAAUAGCAGAGUAAAUUUUCACAGGGUAAUUUUUAAUGUAGAAAUCAUUAUUUUUAGACUGUUGACAUUAUUGAUAUCCUGUAUAAAGAUUACAAUUGGAAACAAAACAGAAAACCUAAACAUGGCACAGAAGGAAGAUCUAAUGUAAUUUUUGUCCUAAUGAUUUUCAUUUUACUUACUCAUGACAAGAGAUGAUUUUGAUAAUGGUUGAUAGUGUAAAAUGAGCAAUAUUGAUUCAACUGUCCAUUAUAUCUCUCUCCUGACUUUCAUUUCCAUUAACUUCAUCUGGAGUUUGACAGGAAAGAAGAAAUUCAUAAAUAUAUUGGCCAGAAUCAAUUGAAAAUGCCAGCAUUUCUUAUAAAACACAUAUACUAUUUAUGUUUUUAUUGAAUGGAAAUUCUGCAGCUUCUUCCAUUCAUGCCAGUUAAAGAGCUAUGGCUGUUACUUAUCAGUACACUCCUGAGCUAUAACACAGAUGUGGAUCAACCCACUCCCUUUGAUUAGUUGGAACCCUUCACAACAUGAAGUUCCCUUAGAAAAUGGCAAGUAGGAGAUCAAGGUGAAAUGCUUCAAAGUGUUGAAUUUUACAACACAAAAGGCCAAUGUUUCACUCUGCCAAGAGCAUCAAGUUAACAUAACUAACUCUGAUCACUUAGAAUUGUAGAGUCAUAGAGCACAAAAAUAGGCCCUUCGGCCCACCAUGUGCUUGCUGUUCCUUUUGCAUAUCUACAGAUCCCAUUUGCUUCUACUUCUGCCUGUUCAAGUGCCACUCUCUUAAAUAUAGUGAUUGUAUCUAUUUCCAUCAUUUAUUCUGGCAGCAAAUUCCGGAUACAUUAACACUGUGAAAAUAAAAGUUACUUCUCAACACCCUUUUACAACUUAUUUUUCUCACCUUAAACGUAGCCAAUAUCCUGUUUGCCAUGCAAUCAAAGUUGUUUAUGUCAAAAAGUAAAUUAAAAAAUGGGGCUUGCACAAUUCCCAAAGGGACCUCAAGCAUUUUUGUACCUCUCAAAUUCCCGUUUUUGUACUUUAUCAUGCACCAGUCUGAGAUCUUAUGAAAUGGUAGAGCAGUGAUCAGACACAGAUUAUAUUGAAUAGAUAAUAGAACACUACAGCACAGUACAGUCCCUUCAGCCAUGGUGUUAACCCUUUCUUCCACCAUAGCCCUCUAUUUUUCUAUCAUCCACAGAGUUGUCCCUCAUAUCUGUCUCUACCACCACUCCGGUAUGGUGUUCCAUGCACCCACCACACUCUGUGUAAAGAACUUCUCUCAGAUAUCUCUCCUACACUUCCUGCCAAUCACCUUAAAAUUAUACUCCCACAAAUUAGCCAUUGCCACCCUGGGAAAUGGUUUCUGGCUAUCCACUCGACUUGUGCCUCUUAUCAUCAUGCACACCUCUAUCAAGUCAGCUCACAUCCUUCGCUCCAAAGAGAAAAGCCCUAGUUUACUCAAACUAUCCUCAUAAAAUCCAGGCAGGAUCCUGUUAAAUCUCCUCUGCACUCUCCCUAAAGCUUCUCUCAUAUAAAGAGGAAAGCAGAACUAAACACAAUAUUACAAAUGUGGUUGAAUCAGAAUUUCAAGGAGCUGCAACAUUUCCUUGCAGCUCUGGAACGCAAAUUCCUGACUGAUGGCCAACACACCAUCUGCCUUCUUAGCAACUCUAUCAACGUUUGCCAUCCUGAUUCCGCUCCUAGUUCAUAUUUGCAUGUACAUUUUGGACAUGAGACAGGACAGAAAGACAAUUUCCCCCAGAUUCUCAGAGACAUGCAAAUCCUGGUCAAUGAGUAAAAUGCCAUGAGGAAGGCAUGGUUUGCCAGCAGUGGGAGAUAAACCAGAUACAUAUCAAAAACACAUGACAAGUAGUGACACUACUGGUUUGCUCCUCAAGUGGGAAUCCUUACAUAAUAGAGUGAUGCUGAAAGAAAGCUCAUGAUCUCACAAGAUGAUCUGCUAAAUGGUUGCUCUGAAGAGUGGAAAUCCUCACAGAGAAACACAUUUACAUGGAAGUCUGAAUUCUUUAAGCAUUCUCCAAUCAUAAGGAAACUAUUAAAGUAAUUGGACAGAUCUGAGGGGACUUUGUGCAUUAUUGGGCUUUGGCUAACUGCUUAACUGUGCACCAUAUUGGCGUUGUAUGGAAAGAAUUACUUGGUUUGUACUAAGCAUUAUU